This 345-nucleotide unclassified non-coding RNA is filed under the name Hevea brasiliensis (rubber tree). The record is from RNAcentral. Lineage: Eukaryota; Viridiplantae; Streptophyta; Magnoliopsida; Malpighiales; Euphorbiaceae.
GGAUUUGGGAGAAAAUAGCUUUGGGACAUAAACCCUAGGCUAAAAUGAAAGAGAAGAAGAAUAUAGGAGAAAAAUAGCUUUGAAACUCAAACUCUAGGUUCUGAUACCAUGUUGAAAUUUAAAAUUAUAGAAAAGAUAGGAGAAAAUAGCAAAAGAAAGAUUUAUGUGGUUCUGCAAUCAAAAGCCUACAUACACAGACACAAAACCAAAGAGUUACAUUUUUAUUCCCUUGUAUGUUUAACAAAAUAUAUUAUAAUUCAUAUUUAUAAUGGAAGAUAUAGGAUAUAUUUGACAUCCCAUAAAUGACUCCUUAAUACAAGUAUUAAUCAAGCCAAUGAUUUUGCU